Non-coding RNA from Oncorhynchus mykiss (rainbow trout), 1059 nucleotides. Lineage: Eukaryota; Metazoa; Chordata; Actinopteri; Salmoniformes; Salmonidae. The record is from RefSeq and is a predicted model, not a curated record.
GGGAGGUAUGCAACGACCCAUGCAGUCCCCUGAGUCUUCAAAUACUGCCAUUAACAUCCAGCCAUAUGUUGUUACACACAGACACACAGACCCCGUCUGGAGUUACAGGCACUUCCUCUCUGCAGCUCAGUCAACUGAAAAUACUAUCCAUCCCCUCCUAACCACGCACUGCAAACACCUAGAAGCACAGACUGUCUGGAAUCACAGCCACUUCCUCUCUGCAGCUCAGUCAACUGAAAACACCAUCCAUCCCCUCCUAACCACGCACUGCAAACACCUAGAAGCACAGACUGUCUGGAAUCACAGCCACUUCCUCUCUGCAGCUCAGUCAACUGAAAACACCAUCCAUCCCCUCCUAACCACGCACUGCAAACACCUAGAAGCACAGACUGUCUGGAAUCACAGGCACUUCCUCUCUGCAGCUCAGGCAACUGAAAACACCAUCCAUCCCCUCCUAAUCACGCACUGCAAACACUUAGAAGCACAGACUGUCUGAAUUAUGCUGAACCUUUCCCACUAUGUAUACCAGGUUAACUGAGGGACAGACAGUGUGGUGAAGAAGGAGCAACAGCACCUCUUUAAUCUCAGGAGGCUGAAGAAAUUCAGCUCGGCCCCUAACUUCUACAGAUGCACCAUUGAGAGCAUCGUGUCGUGCUGUAUCACCGCCUGGUAUGGCAAUCGCACCGUCCACAAACGCAGGAGACAUGUGAGAUGGUGCGGUCAGCCUAACGCAUCACCGGGGGGCACACUGCCUGCCCUCCAGGACAACUACAGCCCCCGGUGUCACAGGAAGGCCAAGGAUAUCAUUAAGGACCUCAGCCACCCGAUCCAAGACCUGUUCACCCAAAUAUCAUCUAGAUGGCGAGAACCGGGUGCGAUGUGGGGACAGAUCCCAGCUGUAGAUAUGUGAUUGGGAACAGCAGGAGUAGUGGAGCACCUGUGUUCAGCAGCUGCUAGUCCUGAAGCACAUUCUGACCACACAGUGGAUUGACUGUUGCAACCGUAACACACACACACACACACACACACACACAAACCCACCCACACCCGCACAAAAAC